CCCCGUCUCUGUGACCCUGCCCCACCCCCUCUGGCUCUACAAUCUUUAGCAUCUCUGUAAUCUGAGACCUACACCUGUCCUGUUUCUGGGACCCUUUCUGGCCCCUACACCCUCCCCCAUCUCUAAAAGCUAUUCAGCCCUUGCCACCCCCCAGCAUCCUGAUCUCCGUCUCUUGGUGGUGCCUGUGACAAUUUGUGACCACUUUUGGGUUGAAGGAAAGACACUCAGCCCAUCGUACCUGUGCAAACUCUUGGGAGGAGCCACCCAUCGCCCUCUCCUGCUGCCGGUGUUGUAGGAAUUCACCGUGUAGGUUUAUUACCCAGACUGCAUCUGACACCCGAUCAGGCACCACGUUCUAAGUCAAAAUGAACUGUUAGGUAAAAAAGCUGCCCAUCUCCGUUGUGAUUUUGUACAGAUUUACUGCAGAGAGCAUUCUGACUGGUUACAUCACAUCUGCUAUGGAGGAGCCAGCGCACAGGAUCGGGUAAGAAGCUGGAGGGGGUUGUAGACUCAGCCAGGAGCAUCCUGACUGGCUGCAUCACUGCCUGGUAUGGGAACUUUAAUCGCAGGACUCUGCAGAGAGUGGUGCCGACAGCCCAGCACAUCUGUAGUUGUGAACUUCCCGUGAUUUACAAAGACAGGUGAGUAAAAAGGGCCCAUAGGAUCAUUGGGGACCCGAGUCACCCCAACCACAAACUGUUCCAGCUGCUACCAUCCGGGAAACGGUACCGCAGCAUAAAAGCCAGGACCAACGGGCUCCGACAGCUCCUCCUACCAGGCCAUCAGACUGCUUAACUCACACUGAUUUGAGUGUAUUCUAUUGACUGUUCUAUAUUAUAAAUCACGACGACUGCUCAUUGCACAGUUAGAGGGAGACGUAACCUAAAGAUUUUUACUCCUCGUGUAUGUGAAGGACACAAGAAAUAAAGACAAUUCAAAUUCAAACCCUCCCCAUAAUCGAGGACAUCUUGAAGAGAUGGUGCCUCAAGGCAGCAUCUGUCUCUAAGGGCCCUCACCAUCGGAGGCAUGCCAUCUUCUUGUUAGUACAGUCAGGAAGGAGGUACAGGAGCUUGAAGACCCACACUCAACAAUUUAAGACCAGCUUCUUCUUCGCCGCCAUCAGAUUGCUGAGCGGUCCAUGGACGGUCUUCGUUAUUCUGCUUUAUUUCUUCUUGCAGAUUAAACUUCUAUCUUGCGCUGUACUGCUGCUGCAAAAGAAAUUUCACAACAUACGCCAGUGAAGAUAAACCUGGUUUUGAUGAUCUUGUCAGCACCCUCUCUUUGUUAUGCAUGUCCUGUCCAAAAUAGAUUCAACACGACCUUUCACUGCGCAGACAUGUGAAAGUGUGAACAGUGUAAAGGGGCGGUCUGGCAGUCAGCUGCUAUUCAGUGGGUUGAAAGGUCUUUUGCUGCUCGUUAUAGCGAUGCCCCAACCAUUGACAGACUGAACUUUGCUCUCAUACAGGGUUGAUAGGCUGUUGGACCCUCCACGAGAGGGCAGCAGAUACGCAGAGUUCAGAGAUGCGAGAUUUCUGCAGAUGCCGCAAAUCCGAUGUAACACACACAACAUGCUGGAGGGGAAGAGAUUAAGGAGCCAGUGAUGUGGUUAUCCCCCUCCACAUCACUUUGGAUACUGUCGGGGGGACCUAACAGAGGUAAAUCACAGCAGUCGCAUCUCUGGCGCUGUCUCCCUCUGUGACUCAGAGAAGUGGGGAGAAGGGGACAAGGAAACGAACAGGAGGUUCUGUGGGCGAGAUCCCUGGAUGGUAUGUUGCUUUCCAGGUGCCAGGGUCCGGGAUAUCUUGGAUCGAGUUCUCAUCAUUCUUAAAUGGGAGAGUGAACAGCCAGAAGCCGUGUACUCAUUGACAUGGGUAGGACGAGUGACGAGCUUCUGCACAGGGAGUUCAGUGCUAAGUUAAAGGGCAGGAGGACCUCCAGGGUUGUGAUCUCAGGAUUGCUACCCUUGCCACGUGCUAGUGACGCCAGAACUAGGAAGACUGCACAGUUUAAUACAUGGCUAAAGAGUUGGUGUAGGAGGGAGGGCAUAAUAUUUUUGGAUCAUUGGACUCUACCAGGGAAGGUGGGACCUGUACAGAACGGACGGUUUGCACCUGAACUGGAGGGGGAUUAAUAUCACAGUGGAAGGUUUGUUAAUGCUGCACGAUGGGGUUUAAACUAGAGUUGCUGGGGGAUGGGAACCAGAGUGCCAGGACAGUCAGUGUAGGGGCAGAUGUUGGUAAGACCUUUGACGAAGUUAGGAAUUAAAAGUUUGAUCAUGGUGCAUCUAGUGUCCUGAGCUGCCGACGUUGAAAUGCAAGCAGUAUCGUGGGAAAGGCAUAUCAUAGUGCUGAAGAUGAAGUAGCUGGUUUUCAAACAGAGGCAAUAUGUAGGGAAGAGAGGCUGUUGGAUGGGCAAAAUUGCAGUCAAUAAGAUAAGUUGCAAUGUAAAAGGUAGACAAAAUUGAAAAGGGUGAAUACUGGACUGUUGUAUCUGACUGCGCGCAGUAUACAGAAUGUAUACAGAACUUAGAGCACAGUUACAGACCGACAGGUAUGAUAUCGUAGACAGCUCCGAGUCAUGGCUAAAAGAUUGUAUCCGGGAGCUUAAUGUUCAAGAACACACAUUGUAUCGAAAGGAUGGGCAGGAAGGCAGAGGGGGCUGCUUUGCUCUGCUGGUAAAAAAUGAAACCAAAUCAUCAGAAAGAGGUGACAUAGGGUCAGAAGGUAUUGAAUCAUUGUGGAUAGAGCCACGGAACUGCAAGGGUAAAAAGACCCUGAUGGGAGUGGUUUACAGACCCACAAACAGUGGUAAGGAGAUGGCCUGAAAAUUACAACGGAAGAUAGAAAAUGCAUGCCAAAAGGGCAACGUUACAAUGAUCAUUGGGGCUUCAAUAUGCAGGUAGAUUGGGAAAAUCAGCUUGGUGCCGGAUUCCAGGAGGGGGAAUUUCUAGAGUGGCUACAAGAUGACUUUAUGGUUGAGCCCACUAGGGGGAUCAGCUAUUCUGGACUGGGUGUUGUGAAAUGAACCAGAAUUGAUUAGAGAGCUUAAGGUAAAAGAACCCUUACGGGAAAGAGAUUGUUAUGUGUUGGGACCGAUUCUUUUGACAUUACAUGUCAAUCAUUUGGAUGAUGGCAUUCAUAGCUUUGUUGCAAAGUUUCCAGACAUUACCAAGAUAGGUGGAGGGGCAGGUAGUUUUGAACAAGUAGAGAGACUACAAGAGUAUUUCGACAGAUUUGGAGAAUUGGCAAAGAAGUGGCUGAUGCAAUAGUGUCAAGAAGAAGAAAUGAAAGGGUUGACUAUUUUCUAGAUGAAGAGAAAAUACAAAAACAAACUGAGGUGCAAGGGUACUUGGGAGCCCUUGUACAGGAUUCCCUACAAGUUAAUUUACAGGUUGAGCCUGUGGUGAGGAAGGUAAAUGUAAUGUUAACAUUCAUUUCUAGAUGACUAAAAUACAAAAGCAAGGAUGUAAUGUUGAAACUUUAUAAAGCACUGGUGAGGUCUCACUUGGAGUAUUGUGGGCAGUUUUGGGUCCCUUAUUGUAGAAAGGAUGUGAUGAAACUGGAGAGGAUUCAAAGGAGAUUCACGAAAAUGAUUCCAGGAUUGAAUGGCUUGUCAUAUGAAGAGUGUUUGUAUUCACUAGAAUUCAGUGGUGAAGUUGUGCAAUUCUUUGCUACAGGCAACUGUGAAGGCCAAGUCCUUAUGAGGUCACCCCUCAUUUGAGGCAGAGGUUGAUAGAUUCUUGAUUGGUCAGUGAAUGAAGGGAUAUGAGGAGAGGGCAGGAGAUUGGGGCUGAGAGGAAAAUUAAAUCAUCCAUGAUGAAAUGGUGGAGAAGACUUAAUGAGCCAAAUGGCUCAAUUCUGCUCCUACAUCUUAUAAAAAAAAACUCAGUAGGUCAGGCAGCAUCUAUAAAGGAAUAAAUAGUCGACAUUUCCGGCUGAGAACUUUCAUCAGGACUGGAAAGGAGGGGGGUAGUUGCCAGAAAAAAAGAGGCUGUGGGGGAGGGGUGGGGGGAAGGUGAUAGGUGAAGCCAAGUGGGUGAUGGAAGGGAGAGUGAAAUAAGCAGCUGGGGGGGGGGUGAUAGGUAGACAAGGUGAAGGGCUAGAGAAGAAGGAAUCUGAUAGGAUAGGAGAGGAGAGUGGACCAUGGAAAAAGGGGAAGGAGGAGGGAGGGCACUGGAGGAGGUGAUAGGCAGUUGGGGAGAAGAGACAAGAAGCCAGAGUGGGGAAUGGAAAAAGAGGGGAGUGGAAAAAUACUGGAAGUUGGAGAAAUCAAUGCUCAUGCCCAUCAGUUUGUAGGCUACAUAGAUGGACCAUGAGGUGUUGCUCCUUAAACCUGAGGGUAGCAGCAGAGGAGGCCAUAGACCAACAUGUCAGAAUUGGAAUGGGGAUGAAUCAAAAUGGUUGGCCACUGGGAAAUCCCACUUUUUGCUGAUGGAAUGGAGGUGCUUGACAAAGCAGAGCCCCCUAGUUCACUGAACCACAAACAGUAGUUUGUCAACGACACAAGAGAUUCUGCAGAUGCUGGGAAUUUGGAGCACACACAAAAUGUUGGAGGAACUCAGCAGGUAAGGCAGCAUCUGUGAAGAGAAAAUGGGCACUCAAUGUUUCUGUGCAAGUCCGUUUAUCAGGAUUGAGAGGUUGCUGGUAUAGAAAGGUGGGGGGGGGAAGGGCUGUUGGGUGAUGGGUGGAUCCAAGUGAUGGGGUAAAUGUAGGGGAGGGAGAGUGGGGAUGAUGCGAGAAGCUGGGAUGUGACAGGUAGAAAUAGCAAAAGGCUGAAGAAAAUGGAAUCUGAUGGGAGAGGACAUUGGACCAUGGAAUAGAGGGAAGGAGGUGGAGAGGGGAACUGGUGGGAGGAACGUACAGGUGAUGGACGGGGGAAUGAUAGCAGCCAGUAGAAUAAGGAGAAAAUGUGGAAGUGGUUAUCUGAUGUCAUGCUGGAGCCCAACUAGGCAGAACAUGAGGUGCUGUUCCUCUAAUCUGUGUCUAGCCUCAGCCUAGUAGUCAAGGUGGCAGUGAACAGACAGGGUGUGGGAAUAGGGAGUGGAAUUAAAACGGCUGGCCACCAGAAUAUUCCACCUGUAAUUGUGGACAGUUUUCUCACAGUUCAGAGCCUCCCAGCACAAUCCUCGGGCACUUAGUGCUGUAACACCUCCUUUCAUGUCUUUUAGCAUGUUCCAAAGCACUUCACUGUAUUUAAGUGAGUCACUGUAGGAAGGCCAGUUACAUUAUUUGUGUACUGCAAGCUCUCAUACACAGCAAAGGUCAUCAGCUCUUGUGAAAAUCAACAACAGCCUGUCCUGGUCCAAUGAGGUGGAUGUCAUGGCCAAGAAACCUCACCAACCUCUCUACUUCCUUGGGGGCAAGACAGUUAGCAGGAUCCUGCCAAUUCUUAUCGUUGCACCGUAGAAAGAACUCCAUUCUGGAUUGCAGCGCAGAUUGGUACGGCAACUGCUCUGCCCGUGGCCACAAGGAACUGCAGAGAGUUGUGGAUGCAACUCAGCACAUCACAGGAACCAGCUCUCUCCCUAUAGAAUCUGACUCUCCUUCUCACUGCCUCAGUAAAGCAGCCAACAAAAAUCAAAGACCCUAACCGCCAGAUACUCUCUCUUCUCCCCUCUUUCAUCAGGCAGGAGAGACAAAGACCUGAAAGCAAGUUCCACUGUUAAAGCUUCUGUCUCACUCUGAGUACUUAAAGAUGGACUCUUGCCCUCACAUUCUACCUCACUACGAGCUUGCACUUUAUCAUUUACCUGCACUGCACUUUUUCGGAGGCUUUAAUAUUUUCCUCUGCGUUGUUACUAUUCCACCUCACUGCACUGUCUGUAUGAACAGUACACAAGCCUUUCAUUGUACGUGACAAUAAUAAACCAAUUCCAGUGCCUUUGCUGCCGAACCACAGAAAAAAGGAUACGCGAAGGGCAGAGAAGGGGAGGCAUGAAUCAUGCACUGUGAAUCAUCCACAGUGAUCCAGUGGUAGGUAUACACAGUACUGGUGAGGCCACACCUAGAGUACAGUGUGCAUUCUGCUCUCCUUACUUGAGGAGAGGCAUACUAACUUUGGAGGUGGUGCAGAGGAGGUUCACCAGUUUGAUUCCAGAGAUGAGGGGUGGUUAGCUGAUGAGAAGAGAUUGAGUCACCUGGGACUACACAUGCUGGAAUUCAGAAUGAGAGGUGAUCUUAAAGAAACAUGUACAAUUAUGAAAAGUAUAAUUGAUAGAUGAGAUAGGGGUGUCUACAGAGCAGGUAGCACCUCUGGUGGAGGGGCUUAGCAUGUCUAUUCUGGGGCAGCUCACUCUCCUUUAGUCCCCACUGGACACUCAGUUCUCACCUCUGGCUCCAAGUAGCUGUUUGCAUGUGACAGUGGCACACCGUUUCGACAGGCAGGCUAAACCUGGUGAGGGUAGCCGGCCGUCCUCAUACACUUGUCUGAUAGGGACGUGUCUGUCCUAGCAUGUGAGGUCAGUUCUGGUGGACUGGGUGGAUGAGACCUACAGUGAGAUCCAAUGAUAGUGAAGGUGGUUCUGAACGCUCCAUGGAGUCAUGGUCAUCCACUGCAGCCAAUGAAAAUCCCAGUAGUGAUGACUAUUCGUACCACUGGAACUGGACUUCUGAGGUCGCAGGAGUGGAACUGCCCCAGUGCAAUGGCCUUCCCACUCUCCCACGCAGGUUUCACUGUCAUUGUCAAAUACAGCAACCAAUCAGAUGAGGUGGGUGAGACUAAAACUAGGGGGGAAAAGGCCUCGAGAUUCAGGGUUAGGAUGGAGAUGAGGAGAGACUGCUUUUCCCAGAGAACAGUGAAUCUCUGGAAUUCUCUGCCCAGGGAAAAAGUAGACACUACUUCAUUAAAUAUAUUUAAGACACAGUUAGACUGCAGGAGAAUUAAGUAUUAUAAGAAAAGGACAGGUAGAUGGAACUCUGUCCACAGCCAGAUCAUGACAUUAUUGGCUCGAUAAGCCAGGUGCCUGACUCCUGCUCCUGUUUCUUAUACCCUUUUUCUGACUAUGGGAGGGAAACAGAACCUUUCAGUUUUCACAGGUAAUACAGAUUCUGCAGAUGAUGGAAAUCUACAUUAACACACACAAAACACUGGAGGAACUCUUAAGGGUCAGAUCAUAAGACAUAGGAGCAAAAUUAGGCCUUUUGGCACAUCAAAUUUCCUCAGCCAUCCCAUCACGGCUGAUUUAUUACCCCUCUUAACCCCAUUCUCCUGCCUUCUCCCCAUAACUUUUGACGCCCUUACUAAUCAAGAACUCCACUUUAAAUAUACCCAAUGACUUUGUCUCCAUAGCUGUAGUGGCAAAGAACUCCACAGAUAAAUAGCAUCUAUGAAAGAAAGCCAACAGUCGACAUUUUGGCCUGAGACCCUUCGUUAAGACUCACAACCGCUUCUGGGAUAUGGAAUUAAAAGUCCAAGUCGAUUUCACAGGAGGUGUUUUAAUGAGUCACAAGACAACAUAUACAAAACAUGAGGGGCCAAAAUAAAGAGUUGGGAGGGGCAGUGUGUGUGGGAUGGGUAAACAAAGAAAACAGCGGACGCAGAAAACUGUUAUUACGACAGAGGCGAAACCUGUACAGCAAUAAAAUCUAUGCAGCUGUGGAGAAGGAGCACUGGACACAGCAAAAAUGCUGUUUUAAAUCCCAUCUUCACAUUGUCUGCUCGUUUUGAGAGAAUUUAGUAUCAGAUUUACAACAGAAAACUAAAUUUCAAAUCGUGCAUUGCUUAUAUAUAUAUAUGUAUAUGUAUAUAUAAAAGAGCAAUUUAAAUACAGUUUUAUAAUAUGUACAACACUCCCUCUUGUGUCUCCUUCACUUAAGUAAACAGACAAAUCUACACGCCAAUCUUUAAUGGCUGGCUCUUUACUCUAAUCUGUGUAACUGGGUGGUGGUAGUGGUGGCAGAGAGCACUUUCCUGACCACUGACUCACCUCCCCUCCCUCCACACCAUCCCAUCACACACUCUCAGGGUCAGACACAGAGUGAAUCUCCCUCUACACCAUCCCAUCACACACUCUCAGGGACAGACACAGAGUGAAGCUCCCUCUAUACUGUCCCAUCACGUACUCCUGGGGUCAGACACAAACUGAAGCUCCCUCCACACCGUCCCAUCACUCUCAUGGAACAGGGAACUUCCCUACACUGUCCCAAAGACACCCAGAACAAGUUACAUCACUCCUGUUUGAAAUACACCUACAAAAUGGUCCUUCCUUGGGUAAGUGGGAGGGAGAAUGUGCAAACCAAAGGGGCAGUUAAUCCAUUCUCUGCUGAUGUUGAUUUAUGAAAAGGAGUUGGUCCAGGACCAGGGGAGAACUUGCUACCGGCAGUUUGCACCUUACAGGUAAUUCCUCAACAGAUAGGAACCAAAUAUAACAAAUAAACAGCCUGACCAGCGAGAUCUAAUCCAUUCUAAGGACAAAAUUCCCAUGCCAUAACUUUGAAAUUGGAGCAGAUGGAAGGGUUAAUUUGCAUCUUGGUUGUGACUUCACCCACUUUGGCAGAUUACACCCGAGCCCAAUUCCCAAUGCAUUGAGGCAAGGGGUUUUACUUACAUCACAAUACUAUCUGCUUCCCUUUACUGGGUUGAGUGGCGGUGGGCAAUGAAGCUUCACAAAACUACCAUGUCCUGUGAAGACUCUGUGCAUGCUUGUCAAUUGUUGACAUAUGGACACGCAUUAGAUGAGUGGUGUGUGUAUGUAUGCACACGUAUGUGUGUGCGUGUGCGAUCUGCCAUGCAUGUAUAUGUGUACUGUGGAUUGGUCUCAACUUGUGUGUGUCCAAGCCUUGUCUUGUCAGUGUGUGCAUGUGCCAGUCACCGUGUACGAAGACUGCACAUCUCGAUGCAUGUGCACAGAGCUUGGUGUAUGUACAAGAACCAUGUGAUUCAUGACUGAUGUUAAACAGAUUGUGAGUGUUUAUCAAACACUGGCUGUGCCUGUGCAAAAGAAAUUUUUAACCUCUCAAACAUUUACCCCUCUCGAGGUUGGGACAUGACAGGCAGGAGCUACGGCAAGUUAUCAAAGAGUGAUGUGUGGAGGUGAGUGAUGAAGGUUUUAACAGACGAUUGGUGGAGGUGAGUGAUGAGGGUUUGGGUAUUUCUAUCAGGGGUAAACAGGACUGGCCACUAACAGACAAUCAUCAGAAUGUCAACAAAAGCAGAGAGUGAUUUGAAUUCAAGGAGCUCGUUUUAUCCAGGCCAUAUUUGGGGCCAGGCUGAACAAAGAUAUUCAUGGAAACCCCUCACUUUUCUGCAGGAAGCAACUGCCCCUCCAGUUACUGUUUGUCCAAGGAGGGAGAUGACUGACUGGGAGAGGGGCAAGUAUGGGAGAGAAAGGACAGAUUUAUCUCAUUAUUCCAGGAAGAGAACAAAAAAUAACAAACAUGGGACACUGCCCUGAGGCUGGUAUUUCCCCUGCAGCAGAAGAAGAGAGAUGGGUAAAUCUUGUCUCCC
Hypanus sabinus (Atlantic stingray) is the source of this 9444-nucleotide long non-coding RNA. RefSeq lists it as uncharacterized. The transcript is spliced from 2 exons. Lineage: Eukaryota; Metazoa; Chordata; Chondrichthyes; Myliobatiformes; Dasyatidae. The record is from RefSeq and is a predicted model, not a curated record.